AUCUCCAAACCGAGAAGACCGGCCCAGAACACUGCGGACAAAGGAGCCACAGUUGGGCUGGGCUUGAAAGGAAAGCAACUUGAGGAGCGGAAGCUCACUCUCCUCCGCUACCAGGAAGAAGCUAAACUGGGAACAAUGCAGAAAAGGCAGGAAAUCUCUAUCCCAGAGCCCAUCAGCAGGAGAGCAAGGCCAGCAUCAGGCCACAGAACAAAACAGACCAGCAAACUGGUCUGCAAAUCCUACGGCAGAAGGUGGAUCUUUAGGACUGGAUUCUGGUUGGACAGGCUGGAGCAGAUGGAUGUUGAACAUGGACCCGUGAAUGAGCAUCUAAACGCAACCAAAGAAGUUGACUGACUUCUCCGUGUGUGGAUCCUCUCUCUCCCUUCCUUCUGUCUUCUCACCUUGCUUGCUUCCCCAGUGGUUCGCUUGCUAGUCAUGAACGGGAUGUAAAUUCACAAACAUCCUUUUGGACAGAGUAGAAUAGAAAGGAUUUCAGGGUUCACACACUGACGUUUAGUAUCGUCCAUAACAUCUGGCCAAGUGUGUACUUCUAUACGUAGAUGUUCUUAUAUCCAAGAAUGGGCUGGUGUAUGAUGCGGCAUGUGUUUCUUACAGUGGUUCAUGGUAAAAAGUUGGACAGGCAUUGCCGUGGUGAGUAUCGAGAAGGGAAGGUCUGUGUCUCCGGUCGUUUUUAAAUGACCUUGCUUACGUGUCCCUCUCAGCCCUGUGCCUCUGCAGGAUUCUUUACUGAGUGGCCUUGAGAAGUACUGGUUAGAUAUCUUCACGGUGGUACCAGGGCAGACAGAGUGCCAAUGAGAGAAGGUGGGCCAGACCAUACCCGGCCUUCAAUCUCUAUGUCCUCUAUCCAUAUCUUUUUCAUCCUAAUGAUUAUUUCCUUGGUGAUACAAGCUCAUGCCUUUAACCGGUACAUGAAAGAAAGCAAAACAUACCUCACGUCUAGAAGGCAAUGGUUGCGAAUGUCCUCAGCCACUCUGCCAUCCAUUUUAUAAUCCUCUCUAGGGCUAGGAUUAAGGGCGUGCAGCACUACCACCCAGUUUCUAUGGCAAGCUAGUGUGGCUACUGGGAUUA
Long non-coding RNA from Myodes glareolus (Bank vole), 1089 nucleotides. RefSeq lists it as uncharacterized. The record is from RefSeq and is a predicted model, not a curated record. NCBI's taxonomy places the organism in Eukaryota, Metazoa, Chordata, Mammalia, Rodentia, Cricetidae.